RNAcentral lists this ribosomal RNA (253 nucleotides) under uncultured bacterium. RNAcentral's name for it is "partial 16S ribosomal RNA". It matches the Rfam family "Bacterial small subunit ribosomal RNA", at positions 524 to 776 of the family's 1533-position model. The record is from RNAcentral.
UACGUAGGGACCAAGCGUUGUUCGGAUUUACUGGGCGUAAAGAGCUCGUAGGCGGUCUGUCACGUCGGCUGUGAAAACCUGGGGCUCAACUCCAGGCCUGCAGUCGAUACGGGCAGACUAGAGUUCGGUAGGGGAGACUGGAAUUCCUGGUGUAGCGGUGAAAUGCGCAGAUAUCAGGAGGAACACCAGUGGCGAAGGCGGCUCACUGGCCCGGUACUGACGCUGAGGUGCGAAAGCGUGGGGAGCAAACAGG